AGCGAACGCUGGCGGUAGGCCUAACACAUGCAAGUCGAACGGCAGCACAGUAAGGGCUUGCUCUUACGGGUGGCGAGUGGCGGACGGGUGAGGAAUGCAUCGGAAUCUACUUUUUCGUGGGGGAUAACGUAGGGAAACUUACGCUAAUACCGCAUACGACCUACGGGUGAAAGCAGGGGAUCUUCGGACCUUGCGCGAUUGAAUGAGCCGAUGUCGGAUUAGCUAGUUGGCGGGGUAAAGGCCCACCAAGGCGACGAUCCGUAGCUGGUCUGAGAGGAUGAUCAGCCACACUGGAACUGAGACACGGUCCAGACUCCUACGGGAGGCAGCAGUGGGGAAUAUUGGACAAUGGGCGCAAGCCUGAUCCAGCCAUACCGCGUGGGUGAAGAAGGCCUUCGGGUUGUAAAGCCCUUUUGUUGGGAAAGAAAAGCAGCAGGUUAAUACCCCGCUGUUCUGACGGUACCCAAAGAAUAAGCACCGGCUAACUUCGUG
RNAcentral lists this ribosomal RNA (492 nucleotides) under uncultured bacterium. RNAcentral describes it as "partial 16S ribosomal RNA". It matches the Rfam family "Bacterial small subunit ribosomal RNA", at positions 29 to 507 of the family's 1533-position model. The record is from RNAcentral.